UACGUAGGGUGCAAGCGUUAAUCGGAAUUACUGGGCGUAAAGCGUGCGCAGGCGGCUUUGCAAGACAGAUGUGAAAUCCCCGGGCUUAACCUGGGAACUGCAUUUGUGACUGCACGGCUGGAGUGCGGCAGAGGGAGAUGGAAUUCCGCGUGUAGCAGUGAAAUGCGUAGAUAUGCGGAGGAACACCGAUGGCGAAGGCAACCCCCUGGGCCUGCACUGACGCUCAUGCGCGAAAGCGUGGGGAGCAAACAGG
This 253-nucleotide ribosomal RNA is filed under the name uncultured bacterium. RNAcentral describes it as "partial 16S ribosomal RNA". It matches the Rfam family "Bacterial small subunit ribosomal RNA", at positions 524 to 776 of the family's 1533-position model. The record is from RNAcentral.